CCAAGAGGUCCACUGUGCCUGUCAUGCAGGAUCGGUACCUGGAGGUCAAGAUCAACGUGACAGAUCCAGUUCCCUGCUUUGGACAUCCGGCUUUCUUACAACAACAUUCAGCUCUUCCUGGCUAUCGUCAAAUCCAUCCCCACCACCGGCUCUCCCGGGCCCAGCGACUCUGCCGACGACACCCUGGCCCUGGUAGUACCAUCCAUGGCCAGCCCCGACCCCUCCACCUCCCAAAAAGACACCUUCAGGCACAAGACGGAGGCCCUGCUAGGUAUAUCACCUGAGGCCUACAGGGGUGUAGUAAAGUUAAAUGAAGGUCAGCUGACUCGGUUACAGGAUCUAGGCUUCAGGAAGGAGCACUGAUCCACUGCAAAGGCCAACUGGACCAGGCUGCCACAUGGCUGCUGGAGAAUGCAGAGACCAUGGUGGGUCAUGCCCGGGGCAGGGCAGACUCGGACUCGGCCAGCCAUUUGUCGCAUCUGCUUCAUCGACGACUGUCUCGACUGUGACAUCCCACUGGCCGAGUUCACCUUCUCACGCCUCUAUGUACUGCAGCGGAUCGGCUCGACCCAGGAGGGAAACCGCAGCUUCACUUUGUAAGGGGACUACUACAACAGAGAACUG
Molecule: long non-coding RNA, 624 nt
Organism: Coregonus clupeaformis (lake whitefish)
Lineage: Eukaryota; Metazoa; Chordata; Actinopteri; Salmoniformes; Salmonidae
Exons: 5
Source: RefSeq, a predicted model, not a curated record